AUACGUACUGUGCGAACGUUAUUCGGAAUCACUGGGCUUAAAGGGUGCGUAGGCGGCCAGAUAAGUAGGAUGUGAAAUCCCCCGGCUUAACCGGGGAACUGCGUUCUAAACUGUUUGGCUUGAGUAAGAUAGGGGUGUGCGGAACUUCCGGUGGAGCGGUGAAAUGUGUUGAGAUCGGAAGGAACACCAGUAGCGAAGGCGGCACACUGGGUCUUAACUGACGCUGAGGCACGAAAGCUAGGGUAGCGAACGGGAUUAGAAACCCCAGUAGUCC
Molecule: ribosomal RNA, 274 nt
Filed under: uncultured bacterium
Lineage: Bacteria
Description: partial 16S ribosomal RNA
Rfam family: Bacterial small subunit ribosomal RNA
Source: RNAcentral